RNAcentral lists this transfer RNA (69 nucleotides) under Podarcis lilfordi (Lilford's wall lizard). Its description in RNAcentral is "tRNA.Ile". Lineage: Eukaryota; Metazoa; Chordata; Lepidosauria; Squamata; Lacertidae. The record is from RNAcentral.
GAUAGCUCAAUUGGUCAGAGCAUGGUGGUGAUAACACCAAGGUUGCAGGUUCAGUCCCUGUAUGGGACA